This 215-nucleotide long non-coding RNA is filed under the name Ricinus communis (castor bean). RNAcentral's name for it is "long non-coding RNA (RCOM_LNC000674)". The record is from RNAcentral. Lineage: Eukaryota; Viridiplantae; Streptophyta; Magnoliopsida; Malpighiales; Euphorbiaceae.
AGCCAUCCUCUUAUCUUUAUGCCAAGAGAAUUAUGAUAGACUAACCGAUUAUUUAUAUCAGUUAAUGAACGAGCCCAAUGCAAAAAAAAAAAAUAUAUGUUGGGUCUUUGAAAAAGUUCGAAUCAUUUUGAUAAUAAUCAGUUUGAUCUGUUUUACCGAGAAGGUCUACGGUUCGAGUCCGUAUAGCCCUAAACAAAAAUAAAGAAAAUUCAAAU